RNAcentral lists this ribosomal RNA (521 nucleotides) under uncultured Clostridiaceae bacterium. RNAcentral describes it as "bacterial SSU rRNA". It matches the Rfam family "Bacterial small subunit ribosomal RNA", at positions 96 to 633 of the family's 1533-position model. The record is from RNAcentral. Lineage: Bacteria; Bacillati; Bacillota; Clostridia; Eubacteriales; Clostridiaceae.
CGGCGGACGGGUGAGUAACACGUGGGUAACCUGCCUCAGAGUGGGGGAUAGCCUUUCGAAAGGAAGAUUAAUACCGCAUAAGAUUGCACUGUCACAUGGCAGAGCAAGAAAAGGAGAAAUCCGCUUUGAGAUGGACCCGCGGCGCAUUAGCUAGUUGGUGAGGUAACGGCUCACCAAGGCCACGAUGCGUAGCCGACCUGAGAGGGUGAUCGGCCACAUUGGAACUGAGACACGGUCCAGACUCCUACGGGAGGCAGCAGUGGGGAAUAUUGCACAAUGGGCGAAAGCCUGAUGCAGCAACGCCGCGUGAGUGAUGAAGGCCUUCGGGUCGUAAAGCUCUUUGAUCAGGGAUGAUAAUGACAGUACCUGAAAAACAAGCCACGGCUAACUACGUGCCAGCAGCCGCGGUAAUACGUAGGUGGCGAGCGUUGUCCGGAAUUAUUGGGCGUAAAGGAUGCGUAGGUGGAUAUUUAAGUGAGAUGUGAAAUCCCCGGGCUCAACCCGGGAACUGCAUUUCAAAC